RNAcentral lists this ribosomal RNA (458 nucleotides) under uncultured bacterium. RNAcentral describes it as "partial 16S ribosomal RNA". It matches the Rfam family "Bacterial small subunit ribosomal RNA", at positions 338 to 795 of the family's 1533-position model. The record is from RNAcentral.
CCUACGGGUGGCAGCAGUGAGGAAUAUUGGUCAAUGGUCGGGAGACUGAACCAGCCAAGCCGCGUGAGGGAUGAAGGUACAGAGUAUCGUAAACCUCUUUUGUCAGGGAACAAGGCGGGGACGUGUCCCCGGAUGAGUGUACCUGAAGAAACAGCAUCGGCUAACUCCGUGCCAGCAGCCGCGGUAAUACGGGGGAAGCGAGCGUUAUCCGGAUUUAUUGGGUUUAAAGGGUGCGCAGGCGGUCUGUUAAGUACGCGGUAAAAGCCCGGGGCUCAACCCCGGCCCGCCGUUGAAACUGGCAGUCUCGAGUUGGAGAGAAGUAUGCGGAAUGCGCGGUGUAGCGGUGAAAUGCAUAGAUAUCGCGCAGAACUCCGAUUGCGAAGGCAGCAUGCCGGCUCCACACUGACGCUGAGGCACGAAAGCGUGGGUAUCGAACAGGAUUAGAUACCCCAGUAGUC